GCGCCCCCUCGCGGGCAGGUGCUGCGUGGCAGCCGCUCUGAGCGACCCGGCCGAGUAGACGCUGGAAGAACGGCGGUGCCACGCACCCUCGCCCGCAGCUUCCGGCCGCCGCUGUCCACCUGCUGCCGGCCACUGGAGGUCCGCGGGGGUGUCGGCGGCGAGGCUUGACCGCGCUAUCUAGAGCCUGGGCGAGUCAGGGACCGCGGUUCAGCCCAGGUGGGGCGAGGGCUGGGCGACGCCCUCUUCCCUUCUGAACUCAAUGCCAGCUCACUCUCUGCCUUGCGGGGACUGGAGUUCAAGGUGACAGCCUCCCAAGAAUCAGAUGCCACGUGGAGAGCCGAAGUACACAGUCCGGAUUCCACGCUGGGAUCCGCUCUCGAUCCGCAGUUUGGGAAGCCAUUGCUGGCGACACUCUCUUUUCACCAGGCCUUCUGUCUGAUGAGCUCCAGGGCACACAAGGUAGUGAAGCUUGUGCAGACUGAUGUGGCUUUUCUUAUUCUUGGUUUCCGAUUCGUAAACUGCCUUGUGACUGCUGGUUUAGUCAGGAAGACCAGGGAAAAAAGCAAUAGACAAUGAUGAUUUUUUAAUUUAAUUAAUCAGAUUCUUAGCCGAAGAGAACAAAUUUCUGCCCUAAACGGAUGAUAAGCAACAAAACGCUGAGAGAGGGAAAAACCCUACAUAAAUGGAAACAUAAGGAACAAAAAUUGAGCAGCAACCUGUUCCGCUUGGUUACAUAGAAAUACACUCCCACACCCUCCAAUGGCUGAGCAUAGCCAUCAAGUUCUCAGAAGUUUAAAACCCUUUCAGAGGUUUUUAAAGGGAGCACAGCAAAAUGUAUUAGAUACUCAAGGGCAUCUGAAAACAAUGUUGAAUUUCCUGCUGAGUUGACAAUUUUCAAAAUCUUUACCUGUAAAACCUGAUUUUUUGAGUCUUUGUUUGAUUGUUUUUCCCACUGAAUGUGUAGAAGUUUUGAUGAAGGGACAUUUCUGCUAUGGUCUGUGGUUAUGGGUUAUGGGUUUUCCUAUAGUACCAUUUCUACAAAGGAAAGGCAAAUGUAAAUUAUGCUAAUGUAAAUGUAAAUGUAAAUCAGUCUGAACAGAUUUCUGUUCAAUGGAAAUAAAGUAGCAGGUGAGUGGAGGUAGUUUUAGAACUCAGCCUGAGCCUCAAGAAGAUAAUUUUUACUACAUAUUAAGUCAUUUUUGAGACACUUCUUUUUAAGACACUUUUCUCUAAAUCCUAGAAAGACUCUUUUAUCUGAAUUUAUAGUUGAAAUAUUUGACAGAAUAAUGGAAAAGGAAAACAGUUUGUUUUCAAUCUUCUGAUUACCAACUGAGUAAACCAGCAAGUUAUCGAUAAGUCAACUUAUUGGUGUUUUGUUUGUUUUGGUGUUUGCUUGGCCAUUCUUCUAUUUUUUUUUUUAAACUUAUGUUUCAGUCUGCCCCAAGCUAAAAACAAACUAAAGGUAAUAAGGGACACUCCCAAAUCCUGCACUUGGACCCUGUGCAGACUCUGUGUUCUAAACCUAAUGCAGUAUCUCCAGCAGGGUACGUGUUAUGACUGUGCAGAGAAUGGAUGACAUCUAUUAAAUGUCAAACACCAUCACAUUGUUCUUCAAGUUGUACUUUACUUGGAACAUGGAAGCCAUCUGCUGGAACUCCCAUAUCCAUUUUGAAUCUGCAAAUCUUCACAGUUCCCUGUCCAGGGGAGGAGCUGGACCUCCUGAUACCAUCUGUAUCUGCUUGCCUUCUGCCUCCUUUGAAAUCAUGUCCCUCAUCUCUGUACUCCCUAGAUGUUUCUCCACCAGGGGCCCUCUUUGAUUCUGAAAGUAUCUUCCUUGAUAUCCAACCCUCCCAAAUAUAUUGUCAUGUUUUGUUCAUCAAAAGUAAUGAAAGCAUGAGCUCUUGGCAUUCUUUUUUAAAUAAUCCCAC
RNAcentral lists this long non-coding RNA (1928 nucleotides) under Marmota monax (woodchuck). The record is from RNAcentral. Lineage: Eukaryota; Metazoa; Chordata; Mammalia; Rodentia; Sciuridae.